AGAGUUUGAUCCUGGCUCAGGACGAACGCUGGCGGUGCGCUUUAUGCAUGCAAGUCGAGCGAAGCUUUUCAGUAGUUUACUACAGAAAAUGACUGAGCGGCGAACGGGUGAGUAACGCGUGAGCAAUCUACCUUAGUUACAGGGAUAGCCCGAGGAAACUCGGAUUAAUACCUGAUAUUCUUUAUUCUCGCAUGAGAAUAAAAGGAAAGGUCAGCCGAACUAAGAUGAGCUCGCGUUCUAUCAGCUAGUUGGUGAGGUAAAAGCUCACCAAGGCUACGACGGAUAGCUGGUCUGAGAGGACGAUCAGCCACACUGGGACUGAGACACGGCCCAGACUCCUACGGGAGGCUGCAGCAGGGAAUAUUGUGCAAUGAACGAAAGUUUGACACAGCGACACCGCGUGUGGGAUGACGGAUCUAGGUUUGUAAACCACUUUCAGGAGGGAAGAAAAUGACGGUACCUCCAUAAGAAGCCCCGGCCAACUACGUGCCAGCAGCCGCGGUAAUACGUAGGGGGCGAGCGUUGUCCGGAUUUAUUGGGCGUAAAGAGCUCGUAGGCGGUUCAACAAGUCGGUCGUGAAAGUUCAGGGCUCAACCCUGAAAUGUCGAUCGAUACUGUUGUGACUAGGAUACGGUAGAGGUGAGUGGAAUUCCGAGUGUAGCGGUGAAAUGCGUAGAUAUUCGGAGGAACACCAAUUGCGAAGGCAGCUCACUGGGCCGCUAUCGACGCUGAGGAGCGAAAGCUAGGGGAGCAAACAGGAUUAGAUACCCUGGUAGUCCUAGCUGUAAACGAUGGAUACUAGACGUAGGAACUGGAUUGACGGUUUCUGUGUCGCAGCUAACGCGUUAAGUAUCCCGCCUGGGGAGUACGGUCGCAAGACUAAAACUCAAAGGAAUUGACGG
This 902-nucleotide ribosomal RNA is filed under the name uncultured marine bacterium. RNAcentral's name for it is "bacterial SSU rRNA". It matches the Rfam family "Bacterial small subunit ribosomal RNA", at positions 8 to 916 of the family's 1533-position model. The record is from RNAcentral.